GCGGUGUGGGAUGGGCCCGCGGCCUAUCAGCUUGUUGGUGAGGUUAUGGCUUACCAAGGCGACGACGGGUAGCCGGCCUGAGAGGGUGACCGGCCACACUGGGACUGAGAUACGGCCCAG
RNAcentral lists this ribosomal RNA (120 nucleotides) under uncultured bacterium. Its description in RNAcentral is "partial 16S ribosomal RNA". It matches the Rfam family "Bacterial small subunit ribosomal RNA", at positions 215 to 334 of the family's 1533-position model. The record is from RNAcentral.